CAGAGUAGGAACUGGCGCGUCAAGUGCCGGCGGAUGGGAGGUUGCCGCCGGACGAAGAGCUUCCCCGGAGGCUCGCGGUGCCGUUCCGCAUCCGCUGC
This 98-nucleotide non-coding RNA is filed under the name human gut metagenome. Its description in RNAcentral is "THF riboswitch". It matches the Rfam family "THF (Tetrahydrofolate) riboswitch aptamer". From Rfam's summary of the family: THF riboswitch presents a pseudoknot that joins P1-P2 and the loop of P3 and two THF binding. The record is from RNAcentral.